AAUGUACCGUGCAUCACAUUCGGGUAACCGAACGUUUGCCCAGGGGGAUAGUGAGAAAUGCUUAUGGGAAUCAACUUGUUCAGUUCCCCUAUAAUAGCGGGACAGAUCUUGGCCUUUUCUGAAAAACUCACAUUCCGAGCUACGAGAAGUCCUCCGAGCUGAAGACUAGAAUAGUAGGGUAGGUGAUAAUCGUAGAUGAUGAAGUAUCUGGAUAUGUAAAUCCUUUAAGGAUAGUCUUUCAUCCCGUAGUGUAGGCCUUUGUAACGUGCUGUAAUGUACUUUUCUUUUAAUGAAGUUCUUGUUCUGCUCUCAUGCUUAAACUGUUCUUCCUUUAUCAUGUGUGAAAUACCUUAGAUUGCUCGCCUUAUAAUUUUAACCAACUGAGCUCUGUCCUGCUUUUUCCCGAGCUGAUCUAACCAUAUCUGCGAGCUCUGAUGAGUUGAACUCCGGAUCCACUUAGCCAACUGGGCUUUCAAGUUUCCGAACUGGACUGUCUGAC
Molecule: long non-coding RNA, 499 nt
Filed under: Manihot esculenta (cassava)
Lineage: Eukaryota; Viridiplantae; Streptophyta; Magnoliopsida; Malpighiales; Euphorbiaceae
Description: long non-coding RNA (MESC_LNC012553)
Source: RNAcentral